AUCCANGANGCAGCAGGCGCGUAAAUUACUGCAAGUUUACAGAACGAAGUAGUGACGAGAAAUAGCAGUGAGGUGCGCUGUGCGUAUCUCGACUGAAAUGAGAGCGAUUUAAAACCCCCAUCGAGGAUCAAUUGGAGGGCAAGUCUGGUGCCAGCAGCCGCGGUAAUUCCAGCUCCAAUAGCGUAUACUAAAGUUGUUGCAGUUAAAAAGCUCGUAGUCGAACGUGUGGCGUGCGCGCGGGUCCGUCGGGGGGCGAAUGCCCGUCGAGCAGCGACUCGCGCGGUGCCAGUCUGGCACUUUUUUGAGGUGCCUCUUUCACUGGAAAAAAAUUAGGGUGUUUCAAGCAAAGGUUGAUAUUGGAAUAUGAUAGUAUGGGAUGAUGAAAUAGGCCGUUGGCGGUAUUUUGUUGGUUUGCGCGUUGGCGGAAUGAUGAAGAGGGACAGUUGGGGGUAUUCGAAUUCUAGUGUCAGAGGUGAAAUUCUUGGAUUACUAGAAGGCGAACGACUGCGAAAGCAUUUACCAAGGAUGUUUUCAUUGAUCAAGAACGAAAGUAUGGGGAUCGAAGAUGAUUAGAUCACCUCUCU
RNAcentral lists this ribosomal RNA (584 nucleotides) under Thraustochytriidae sp. ANACC TC_011. RNAcentral describes it as "SSU rRNA". It matches the Rfam family "Eukaryotic small subunit ribosomal RNA", at positions 414 to 1021 of the family's 1831-position model. The record is from RNAcentral. Lineage: Eukaryota; Bigyra; Thraustochytrida; Thraustochytriidae.